AACGCUAGCUACAGGCUUAACACAUGCAAGUCGAGGGGCAGCAUGAACUUAGCUUGCUAAGUUUGAUGGCGACCGGCGCACGGGUGAGUAACACGUAUCCAACCUACCAUUCACACGGGGAUAGCCUUUCGAAAGAAAGAUUAAUACCCGAUAGUAUAGCGAUAAGGCAUCUUAUUGCUAUUAAAGAAUUUCGGUGUUUGAUGGGGAUGCGUUCCAUUAGAUUGUUGGUGAGGUAACGGCUCACCAAGUCUUCGAUGGAUAGGGGUUCUGAGAGGAGGGUCCCCCACAUUGGAACUGAGACACGGUCCAAACUCCUACGGGAGGCAGCAGUGAGGAAUAUUGGUCAAUGGACGAGAGUCUGAACCAGCCAAGUAGCGUGAAGGAUGAAGGCCCUAUGGGUCGUAAACUUCUUUUAUAGGGGAAUAAAGUGCGGAACGUGUUCCGCUUUGUAUGUACCCUACGAAUAAGGAUCGGCUAACUCCGUGCCAGCAGCCGCGGUAAUACGGAGGAUCCGAGCGUUAUCCGGAUUUAUUGGGUUUAAAGGGAGCGUAGAUGGAUGUUUAAGUCAGUUGUGAAAGUUUGCGGCUCAACCGUAAAAUUGCAGUUGAUACUGGAUAUCUUGAGUGCAGUUGAGGCAGGCGGAAUUCGUGGUGUAGCGGUGAAAUGCUUAGAUAUCACGAAGAACUCCGAUUG
Molecule: ribosomal RNA, 693 nt
Filed under: uncultured bacterium
Lineage: Bacteria
Description: bacterial SSU rRNA
Rfam family: Bacterial small subunit ribosomal RNA
Source: RNAcentral